UUUGGCUUUUUCACGACUCCAAUUUUCCAUCUUUUUAAUUGGCUUGUCAGAUGUCCAGACAGGGACGUCUGGACAAGGCGAAGUGUUUUACAAGGAUGUUACCUUUCGCCGUUCUGGCAUUGAAGACAAUUAAAAAUAUGGAUCAAAAAAUUGGCUGGAGAUCGGCUU
Pseudoalteromonas atlantica is the source of this 168-nucleotide non-coding RNA. The record is from Rfam. Lineage: Bacteria; Pseudomonadati; Pseudomonadota; Gammaproteobacteria; Alteromonadales; Pseudoalteromonadaceae.